UACGUAGGGGGCUAGCGUUGUCCGGAUUUAUUGGGCGUAAAGAGCGUGUAGGCGGCCAGGUAGGUCUGCUGUGAAAACUCGAGGCUUAACCUCGAGAUGUCGGUGGAAACCAUCUGGCUAGAGUUCGGAAGAGGAGAGUGGAAUUCCUGGUGUAGCGGUGAAAUGCGCAGAUAUCAGGAAGAACACCCGUGGCGAAGGCGGCUCUCUGGGACGGUACUGACGCUGAGACGCGAAAGCGUGGGGAGCGAACAGG
Molecule: ribosomal RNA, 253 nt
Filed under: uncultured bacterium
Lineage: Bacteria
Description: partial 16S ribosomal RNA
Rfam family: Bacterial small subunit ribosomal RNA
Source: RNAcentral